GAUGAACGCUGGCGGCGUGCCUAAUACAUGCAAGUCGAGCGGAGAGGGGACGGGUGAGUAACACGUGGAUAACCUCCUAUAAGGCUGGGAUAACCUCGGGAAACCGGAGCUAAACCGGAAUCUUAUCCCUGGUUCCGCGCUGCAUUAGCUAGUUGGUAGGGUAACGGCUUACCAAGGCCACGAUGCCUAGCCGACCUGAGAGGGUGAUCGGCCACACUGGAACUGAGACACGGUCCAGACUCCUACGGGAGGCAGCAGUAGGGAAUAUUCCACAAUGGGCGAAAGCCUGACGGAGCAACGCCGCGUGAGUGAAGAAGGUCUUCGGGUUGUAAAACACUGUUAGUAGGGAAGCGGUACCUGAACAGAAAGCACCGGCUAACUACGUGCCAGCAGCCGCGGUAAUAC
This 405-nucleotide ribosomal RNA is filed under the name uncultured bacterium. RNAcentral describes it as "partial 16S ribosomal RNA". It matches the Rfam family "Bacterial small subunit ribosomal RNA", at positions 28 to 526 of the family's 1533-position model. The record is from RNAcentral.